CGCCGCGCUGCGGGGCCGGGGCGGAGGCAUUACUUCUUGCAAAAUUAGCCCCAAGCCUGCCUUUUGGCUUCGCGGCUCCCCUUUUUUAUUCUUUUUUUCUUUUUUUUCCUAGCAGACACAGAAGCAGAACGAGACAUAGGUAGGGAGAGCGGGAGGAAAUUGGAAACAUAUUUAAAAAUGUAAAUGGGUUCGAGCCAGCCUGACACUGUUUAGAGGGUAAAACGAGGCGCACGCCCGGAUCAACUUAAUGAAGCAGAGAUUGAUGCAGUUUGAGACGCUGCUACAAACUUUCAGCCCGUGUUCGUAGUGCGUUUGGUGAGGGGACAGGAGUAGCUGACCCAAAGUGGGGUAAAGCAGCUCUCAGAAACAUCCCCUGUAACCUAAAACAGAUUGUCAGGGAGGCAGAUGGGGCUGCAAAAAGCCAUUUGGACUGUUCGCCUGUCGAGAGGAUGUCGCUGCCCUUCUCGGAUGUAUUCCUUCCGCAGGCAGCUGGAGAGACACAUCUCCGCGAGCUGGUACUUUUUAAGGCAGCCGAUCCAGGUGACUUGUGCUGUUUGCAGCGAGGUAGGGUGGGCUGCAGAUGCGGAUGGGAUGUGGGGGGGGGCUUGGGAAGCAGAUGGGGAGGGGGGUUGCAGCCAGGCCAUUGGAAAUCAACGAGGUCCUUUUCUUUUCUUUUCUUUUCUUUUCUUUUCUUUUCUUUUCUUUUCUUUUCUUUUCUUUUCUUUUCUUUCUUCUCUUCUCUUCUCUUCUCUUCUUCUCUUCUCUUCUCUUUUCUUCUCUUUUCUUCUCUCUUCCCUUCUCUUCUCUUUUUUCUGUUUUGUUCUGUUCUCUUCUUUUCCCUUUCUCUUCUCUUCUUUUCUCUUUUCCUUUUCCCUUCUUUUCUCCUCUUCUUUUCUCCCUUCUUUUCUCUUCUCUUCUCUUCUUUUCUCCCUUCUUUUCUUUCUUCUUUUCUUUUGCCUUCUUUACUUUUCUUUUUCUCUUCAUUUCUUUUCAUUUCUUUUCUCUUUUUAUUUCUUUCUUUUUCCCUAUUUUUUUCUCUAUUUUUUCUUUUUUCUCUUUUCUUGUUCCUUUUCCUUCUCCUUUUUUGUCUAUUUCGCUUUAUCCUUUUUACCUGUUUUUCUUUUAAUUUUUUUCGUUUCUCUCUCCUUUCCCCAUUUCAUUUUCCCUUUUCUUUUUGUUUUCCUUUUUCGUUUUCCUUUUCUUCUUUUUCUUUUCCCUUUCCCUUUCUUUUUCUCUCUCUUUUUUUCGCUUUUCUUGUUAAAAAAAGAAACAAACCAAUAAUACUGCUAAGAACAGCCAGGACAGUUUUCUCUCUCCUCCCCAGAAACUUCCACGGGAUAUUUUCGUCUCCGAUCCCUUGUGGGGAGGUGGGGGGGNNNNNNNNNN
RNAcentral lists this long non-coding RNA (1386 nucleotides) under Apteryx haastii (Great spotted kiwi). Its description in RNAcentral is "lncRNA (ENSAHAG00000000494.1)". The record is from RNAcentral. Lineage: Eukaryota; Metazoa; Chordata; Aves; Apterygiformes; Apterygidae.